ACGAACGCUGGCGGCGUGCUUAACACAUGCAAGUCGAACGGUGAAAGAGGAGCUUGCUCCUCUGGAUCAGUGGCGAACGGGUGAGUAACACGUGAGCAAUCUGCCCUUCACUCUGGGAUAACCUCGGGAAACCGAAGCUAAUACCGGAUACGACGCACGGAGGCAUCUCCUGUGUGUGGAAAGAAUUUUGGUGGAGGAUGAGCUCGCGGCCUAUCAGGUAGUUGGUGAGGUAAUGGCUCACCAAGCCGACGACGGGUAGCCG
RNAcentral lists this ribosomal RNA (262 nucleotides) under Microbacteriaceae bacterium ISO860_OTU1692. RNAcentral's name for it is "partial 16S ribosomal RNA". It matches the Rfam family "Bacterial small subunit ribosomal RNA", at positions 29 to 289 of the family's 1533-position model. The record is from RNAcentral. Lineage: Bacteria; Bacillati; Actinomycetota; Actinomycetes; Micrococcales; Microbacteriaceae.